UGAAUACGAGACGCUAAGGCGUCGAAGUAGUGUAUGUCAUACUUCCAAGAAAAGCUUGCACUGUCAUAGAUAAAAAACGCCUGUACCAUAACCGACACAGGUGGGUAGGUAGAGUAUACUAAGGGGCGCGAGAUAACUCUCUCUAAGGAACUCGGCAAAAUAACUCCGUGACUUCGGGAGAAGGAGUGCCUUAUUCGUAAGGUUGCAAUAACAAGAUCCAAGCAACUGUUUAUCAAAAACACAGGUCUCCGCUAAGUCGUAAGACGAUGUAUGGGGGCUGACGCCUGCCCAGUGCCAGAAGGUUAAAGAAGUUGGUUAGCAAUUGCGAAGCUGAUAACUGAAGCCCUGGUGAACGGCGGCCGUAACGAUAACGGUCCUAAGGUAGCGAAAUUCCUUGUCGGGUAAGUUCCGACCCGCACGAAAGGCGUAAUGAUUUGGAUACUGUCUCGGAGAGGGGCUCGGUGAAAUAGACUUGUCUGUGAAGAUGCGGACUACCUGCACCAGGACAGAAAGACCCUAUGAAGCUUUACUGUAACUUGAAAUUGAAAUUGGACUUUAUUCGCGCAGUAUAGGUGGGAGGCGUUGAUUAUAAUCUUGUGGGAUUAUUGGAGCCAUCAGUGAGAUACCACUCUUGUAAUGUUAGAUUUCUAACUUUGAAUCAUUAUCUGGUCAAAGAACAGUUUCAGGCGGGCAGUUUGACUGGGGCGGUCGCCUCCUAAACGGUAACGGAGGCGUACAAAGGUUUCCUCUGAACGGUUAGAAAUCGUAUCUAGAGUGUAAAGGCAUAAGGAAGCUUGACUGUGAGACCUACAAGUCGAGCAGGGACGAAAGUCGGUCUUAGUGAUCUGACGGUACUGAGUGGAAAGGCCGUCACUCAACGGAUAAAAGUUACUCUAGGAUAACAGGCUGAUCUCCCCCAAGAGUUCACAUCGACGGGGAGGUUUGGCACCUCGAUGUCGGCUCAUCGCAUCCUGGGGCGGUAGUACGUCCCAAGGGUUGGGCUGUUCGCCCAUGAAAGCGGUACGCGAGCUGGGUUCAGAACGUCGUGAGACAGUUCGGUCCAUAUCCGGUGUAGGCGUUAGAAUAUUGAGAGGAGCCUUCUUUAGUACGAGAGGACCGAGAAGGACAUACCUCUGGUGUACCAGUUAUCGUUCCAACGGUAAACGCUGGGUAGCUAUGUAUGGAGUGGAUAACCGCUGAAAGCAUCUAAGUGGGAAGCCCACCUCAAGAUAAGUAUUCUC
This 1241-nucleotide ribosomal RNA is filed under the name metagenome. Its description in RNAcentral is "bacterial LSU rRNA". It matches the Rfam family "Bacterial large subunit ribosomal RNA", at positions 1564 to 2815 of the family's 2925-position model. The record is from RNAcentral.